This 107-nucleotide small nuclear RNA is filed under the name Zalophus californianus (California sea lion). The record is from RNAcentral. Lineage: Eukaryota; Metazoa; Chordata; Mammalia; Carnivora; Otariidae.
GUAUUCCCUUGGGCAGCUCACAUAUUAACACUGGAAAGAUACAGAGAAGAUUAGCAUGGCCCCUGCACAAGGAUGACACACAAAUUCAUGUAGAUGAAGAAAAGAAA